CAGUAGCCGCGGGAAAACGAACCGUGCAAACGUUACUCGGAAUCACUGGGCUUAAAGCGCACGUAGGCGGCGACAUAAGUUAGAGGUGAAAUCCCAUCGACUCAACCGUGGAACUGCCUCUAAUACUGUGUUGCUUGAGGGAGAACGGGGCAUUCGGAACUUCCGGUGGAGCGGUGAAAUGUGUUGAUAUCGGAAGGAACGCCGGUGGCGAAAGCGGAAUGCUGGGUCUCUUCUGACGCUGAGGUGCGAAAGCUAGGGUAGCGAACGGGAUUAGAUACCCGCGUAGUCCCUGUCUCUUAUA
This 301-nucleotide ribosomal RNA is filed under the name uncultured bacterium. RNAcentral describes it as "partial 16S ribosomal RNA". It matches the Rfam family "Bacterial small subunit ribosomal RNA", at positions 509 to 808 of the family's 1533-position model. The record is from RNAcentral.